This 168-nucleotide ribosomal RNA is filed under the name uncultured soil bacterium. RNAcentral describes it as "partial 16S ribosomal RNA". It matches the Rfam family "Bacterial small subunit ribosomal RNA", at positions 26 to 198 of the family's 1533-position model. The record is from RNAcentral.
AGGACGAACGCUGGCGGCGUGCUUAACACAUGCAAGUCAAGGGGGCCCAGCAAUGGGCAACCGGCGAACGGGUGCGUAACACGUGAGCAACCUACCGAACUGGUGGGGGAUAGCCGGCCUAACGGCCGAGUAAUACCGCAUACGCUCUCAGUGAGGCUAUUUCAUUGA